GACUGGGGGAGAGGAGAGAGGAGAAAGCUGUCCCUGGCGUCCCACCUGACCUCCCCGUCUUUACCCUUAUUUGCUUUUAUUGGACAGACAGACAGACUGGUUUUCCAGGUUAAGUGUCAGCAUCUGUCUGUCCAUAUAGUUCUCAGGUGGAAGGUAGGGAGUAAGAAGGAGACAUGCUGAGAGGAAGGCCAGGCACAGUUUCCCAGAGGCUACCUUAUUGAAAUGUUCAGCCCUGGGAACCUGGGGCUGGUGGGGAGCAGGUGGGCAGGAUGGGGCAUGGGCUCAAAGAAGUGGGGUAAAGCUGGAAGGUUUGUCACUGCGUAGUUGGGAAAAGUGGGGAAUGGUGACGCAGUCACUGUUGCAUCUUGUUAGAAGCUCUAGGGGGACAGGUAGUGAGGUUCCCGGGGUCUGUAGGGCAAGCUAAGAGGGCUUAAGGAUGAGCUGAGAAGGGAAGCUAGCAUUUAGAGAUUAAAUGUCAUUCUUUUGGCGUUGGAAAGUUGUUUACCUUGCGCUCUCUGUGUCUCCAUGUUGGCACCCUUCCAGUUCACAUGUGAUGGCCUUCCUUGUACUGCUGCAUCAUUAACUAAGUGACUGAGCUGGCCUUCCAUUGGCCAGGGGAGGGCUCUCACUCCAGACACUUCCUCUGAUUGGUGGGUGGGCCAAUGGCAGGUGAAAACCUUUUUUUGAUUGGCUUAGGGCAAGGUAUCAAAUCUGAAUUUGCAUUUCACUUGCUUAAAGGGGAGGGGGGGAGAAGCCCAGCAGCUUUCUAAAAUCUGUUUAGGGGUGUGCGUGUGCUCCUGUGUUUGUGCCUGCUUUUGAUUGACCAGUCGAAGCCUCUUCCUGUACCUUUUUUAUUUCAGGCACUCUAAGGAAGAGGAGCUCAGAGUGCCCCAAACUUUUUCUGGAGGGGGAAGGGUUAGGGAGAUGGGUGCGCAGAGGGUUGACCAAACUGGAAGAAAAUAUUUGUCCUUUAGCUUGGUUUCAGAAAAAGGAAAAUUUCCAAUCAGCCACACCUCUUUGUUGCGGCAAAAUAAUUCUUGGCUCCCCUGGAAACACAGGGGCAAGGUAGGGCAGGGCUGCUGCUGCUGCUGUUGCCACCACCCUGGGCUUCCUGCUGACUCUGGGCUACUCCCAGGGGACAAGAGAUUUGCAUUGACGUCCGGGGCUGUCCAGAGCUGAGCCCAGUAUGAGAAGGACCUGCCUUCUGGAAGCUGCUGCUCCCUGGUGCUUGGAAAGGUACCACGUCAAGCUCUUUCUCGGUGGUUAUUUCAUUUAUUCCUUACCACAACCCUGUAAGGAGAGUCCUGUGGCUGCUUCUGCAUCAGGAAAACACCAUGGGCAUAGAGCUGGAGCCGUGAGAACUGGUGGUGGCAGAGUGAGGGUUAACCAGGGCACCCUCCUGGGAGCCUUUUCAUGCCAGUGUGUCGGAGCGGGGAGAUGGAACGCUCAGCUGAGUGACCAGGACGUUCUGUCAACAUGAAAGCAGCAAAAACAGCUUGUCGGGCUCAGAGCUGACCCUUAGGCUAGGGUCAUUUUCAGGAAGGGACUGGCAGAAAAGCAGCCCACUGCUGGACAUCGGGGCGGGAGCGACCCCAGAGAGAACUCAGAGGAGUUGAGCUCCAUGAAUACAUGACAACCUCGUGGACACAGCUGAGGAUGAUGCUGGGACUCAGAAGACAGCCGUCAUAUGGUGGGAUAAAUGUGUGCCCGUUUGCGUUUGUUUGGAACAAAAAAAGGAGAUGCCUGGCUCUGUGCAGUGCCGUUGAGUCACCAAUUUGUGUGGUUCUGUGACCGCAGCGCUGACUGAUGUGACAGGACCCUGGUCUUGUCAUUGACUCAUCACGAGGGUGCUUAAUGGAAACCAGCAGCAUAGAAAAUGGGAUGUAACCCCCUCGCUUCCUUCCAGCCUCCAAAAGAAUUUAAUCUGCUGGACAACAAACAAUACUGUUAUAAAACUUGGAAAACAAGAGGGCGAGGCCUCCCUGACAAGGAGAAGGGCAUGCUGGGUAACAGCGAGGGAGCCUGCCAGGCCCGCGAUGGAGCCAGCUGACAGCCCAGUUUGGCUGGGUACCUGGGCGCCUGCCCCUGCCCGGCCCACCAGCUGCGCUAUGCCCAGUCCAGAGGGAGCCCUGAAACCAGCAUUCCCAGUGGCAGGAAGGAGGAGAAUCUGGGCUCUGCUUCCGGCACCCCUCCCCCACGCUGGCUGGAACUUGUGUCAGUCACGUAAGUAGCUGUGACUCAGCACCCAGCCCCGUUGGGAGGGAGAAGCUGCUGCCUGGCAGGAACCUUCUCAGCGUUCUGGAUUUGAACACGUUGCGGUUGCGCAGAACGAGCCAGCAGCCUUAGGUUCCUGGGGGCGAAUGUCUAUCUGUUUAUUCCAUGGGUUUGGUUAUGGAUUUCUUACGCAAAGAUGCCUCUCCUUUCCAUUUCUCUCCCGUGUUAUUUUUUUGGGUGCUAUGCUGGGCAUAGGAUUUUUAGGACUAUAAAAGACACACCAUUUACAGAAUGAAGUAGACUCUCUCUUUGCAGUCUCCAGAUUGUUCUUUACCUGACAGCCUAUGAAUUGUACUUAACACUCCGAUGAUUUUGUUUGGCCUGCACAAUUUUGUUUUGUUUUUUUAACGUGUCUGGUUUUGCAUGCCUGCAGACGAAACGCAGCCUGUCCAGGUCACUCUAUUUCUGCUGCAGGCUUCUCUGUCUUAAGUUUCCUGCUGAGCCCUCAGAGCAUGUGAAUGUGUAGUGACCAGCCUGCGCCAGCCCCCGUCUUCUCCGAUGAACUCUGAGGCCCAUUCCAGGGAAGUUCUCACCGUCUGGGCCGAGCAGGAAGUCAAGCCACUGCAUUCUGCUUCACUGUGUGGUGACCUUUCCUCCACCCUCCAGCCCCUGCCCAAGCCAAGGAGUGUCCUGGGCAUGGGAAGGGGGGGGGGCGGGGGUUGUGGACAAACCUCCAAAGAGAAUGUGGGCACAGAAAUGGACUAGGGCUGCAGUUUGGCUCCCGAAGCCGCCUUUGUGCUCGGUGGCACCUCCCAGGGUGUCAGACUCACCCUUUUAAUGGGUGGUUUUCCUUCCCAGGUAGCCCACCCAGCCCUCCCCCACUGGCCAGUGUGCAUGGUGCCAUUAGGCCCAUGGGAGAGGAUGCUGCCACCUGCCGUUGACAGCAGAGCCCUCAGCACGCUGAUGCUUUCUUGGGCUGCCUUCUUACAGACAGACCUAGGUGGCCCUUGUGCUGGAUGCCAGGGACAGCGAGCCCCUUCCAGCCCCCAGCAAACCACCCAGCCACAUCCAACUAGGGAACAAAAACGCCGGCUUGUUUCAGGUAAGUGAGUCAUUGCUCAGCAGACUUUGAGAGAGAAACCCGGUUCUGUUGGGAAAGUUGAGACCUGAACAGACCCUUUUAUUCAAUAGGAUCGGAAGGGCAAAAGGUUUAGGUACUAAGAUUACUUUCUUCCCCUUCUUCUUGUUUUAGAGUCUUUACAGUGAUGCAUUGUUAAUGAUUUUUUUUUAUGUCUUCUUUCAGAGAACUAAGUAUUUUAGAACUCAAGAGUUGGGAACCCAAACUCUAGUUCAAGCCCCUUAGUUCCUCAAUGACAGUUGCGCCUGUGCUGUGUGCAGCUCCUUCUCUGAACUCCUGGCUGACUCUUCCUGGGUAGCGGGAGAGACAUUAAUUAAUCACCCUGAUGACCACAUGACAUAAGUGUGUCCUGAAGGAAAUGAACUAGAUGCUGUGAGAGGGCGACUUAGCCGCAAGCUGGACUGGGGUUGGAGGGGGCUUUCCUGAGGAAGGGGUGGCUGAGCUGAGACCUGAAGGGGAGGACUUCAGACCACCUGGGUUACCAGGGGAGGGGGUUGACGGGGUAGUGAUGGCAGAGCGGAUGGAGACAGCAUACGCCGAGGCCUUCUGGUGGGAGGAAGUUGGGUUCGCUGAAGGACAUCUGUGUGACAGCAUCUUAGGAAAGGGUUUUAUGGAUACUGACAACGGGAAGUUGCUAAGGAAGAAGCGCGUGGCUGAAGUAAAAAGCAGAAAAGCUGAGAAUUACCAAAUGUAGGUCUCUUCGUUUUAUAGGAUUCAGACCCCAUGGGAAUGGCUGUCAUUUAACACUCACCCCUGACCGAAAGCCCUAGCAGCGACCUGGUUAACGGGGCCCCAACUGUUGACUGCAAGUGUCCUCGCUCUGAGCCCCUGCGGGCAGAGCCGACCCCAGCUCUCCCGUCUGUGACUGAGGCUUGCAAAGCCCCACGGGCUGCAGAGCCCUGGUGCUGGUGUCAGGAUCACUUGGGCAUCCUCUCAGCAUUGUGGGGAGCUUCAUCUCCAGCGGCCCCCACCCCACAGCCAUGCUAUGGGACAUCGCAAAGGCACCAGAGGUGCAGAACCAAGCAGCUGCCUCCACCACCAGGCCCCUUGCAGAACCAGUCGUGCUCCAGCCUCCACCCGAGUUUAAUGUGUUGUAGUCAGUAACAUGCCACUUUCAUGCAGAAAUAUUGCCUCGGAACCACAGCCCCUCACACCCCAUCUUGCUGGUAAUUAAAUUCAAGUACAGAGGGAGAUGAUAGUGCAGCUGUGGAACAGGCGGCAGUGGGCAGAGGGGCAGGAACACAGACUUUAGCAUUUGAUCUGGGAUCUACACAUUUACUAGUCAUGUGACUGCACACGUUAUUGAACCAUGUUAAGGAGCCAUUUCUUCUGCAAAAAUGAGAAUUAUACCUGCUUCAAAUGACUACUGUGCGAAUUAAAGAGCACAACUUGGUGUUCAAAUGUUGCUUCUGUCUCUUCCCUAGAGCAGGUCAUAUCGUUGUUUCCAGGAGUCAUAAGAAAUAUAAGCCCAUAUAUCUAGAGGCCUAAAGAAUUGGUAGGAACAUACAGAUUCUACUAUGUCUCUUUCUCUUGGUUAUGGUGUCAGUGGAAAUAGAGACAUGUUUUUUAGCUUUAAACAACCAAAGAAGAUGAUGUAAUUAGUAGAAUGUGGGAAAUCUAAUUUAAAUACAGUUUGCAAAUCUUAAUUUCAGGCAAAUUUUGAAAACACCGCAAAACUCAGUUCUUGUGUUAAAGGAUUAUCUACUUAAUACAGUUUUAGGACACCAGUUUUUUUGUGUCACACCAGAGGUUAAAUAAGAUUGCCAAUGUUGUGACACUUCCCGCUGAGAAGGCAGAGCCCAUGCUCUUCCUGAACAGGGCACUUGGAAGGCUUGCCCUGGCCCAGGUGAAAGUCACCUUUUUGUAGUGGCUAGAGCCUCAUAGGCAGAUCGAGGGCCUGUUUCCUGAUGAAGUGAGAUAAUAUCAGAAAACAUUUUGCACUCUGUGAAAUACUGCACACUGUGAAAUAAUGCAGGCAACGCUAAUGCAGCAAGGCAUUUUAAUAAUAGCUUAUUAAUGUCUAUUUUAUCCUCAUGUGUAAUAAUUUAUAAGGACUGAUUGUGGAAUUAAACAAGUGAACGUAGCUUAUGAGUUUUGUAUUGCUUCGUCACUGCGAAGCAUCAGCCAUGCCCCCCAGGUUCCCUGGGCAUCCCUGUGGGAGUCUCCUCUGUGCCUUUCGAACGGAUCUUGAUAUCAUGUCACGUCACGACUGGAACUGUAAGAAGACAUUCUCCUCGGGACAGAGGCUGGGUCUUCCCAUCGCAUCUCCCUUCUGUCUUCAGUGAGAUCCUCUUCUUCUGGAAGCUGGUUUCACAUGGUGGCUUAGAUUUUUCCAUCUUUGUAUCUAGCACCAUUUGAAAUCAGUGUUUUAGGAGUAAGAAUUGCAGCACAGCACUGCUCUUGGGACUGGCUCCUCUCCUUCUGCCACCAGAGCCGGUUCAAGAAGGAAGCAACUUGAAAAGCAGAGUACACCCUUGAGUAUGUUGGGUCUGGAGGGCUGGCAGUACGGGGAGGGGGUUGUGUUUGAAAACACUCGGGUUUGUACAGGGCAGAGGGUGUGAUGCUCUUUGUGUUGACAUGUAGCCUCAGCCACCAGCAGUGGUGAUGGGCACCCCCUGGCUUGGGUACUUGAUCGUCACGGGCAGGGGAGAGGGCUGUGUACCUGGAGGCCCGUCCGUGCACAUCCACACUGUCUGCCCGCUCCUGGAUGCCCUGGAACAGACUGGCCACCUGCACUGUCAAGGUGCAGGACCCCCAGGAGCACCGCUGGACCCAUCUCUUACACAGGCUGACCGAUUUCUCCUGGUGUUCAGAGUCUGUUUUUGUCUAGCACCAUUUGAAAUCGGUUAUGAUGUAGGGGGAAAAGCAGCAGCCUCGAAGCCUCAGACCAAGUCUGCUCUGCAACAGCCUGUGGUUUCCUGGAAGAUGGAUGGGCAGAGAGUGGGGAAGGAAGGUGACGCUUCUCCCUGCUAACUUCUUUAACUGCGUUUUUGAUACUUUAUUGCAGAGGUAGGAGGUAGUUUAAUGGGUUUUUAAAAACAAAUCAGUAUAAUAUCUGAGGUCCUCAGCCGCGUUUUGCUGAAAUGUGGUCGUGUUGUAAAUUCUAUAAAUUGGUUCCUUGUUGACUUAUCUUUCUGUUAAGGACAAAGUAUUCAUGUAUCUGAACUUAAUAAAUGUUUUACUACCUUCAA
This is a long non-coding RNA of Hipposideros armiger (great roundleaf bat), 6543 nucleotides long. RefSeq lists it as uncharacterized. The record is from RefSeq and is a predicted model, not a curated record. Lineage: Eukaryota; Metazoa; Chordata; Mammalia; Chiroptera; Hipposideridae. The transcript has 8 exons.